RNAcentral lists this ribosomal RNA (472 nucleotides) under uncultured bacterium. RNAcentral describes it as "bacterial SSU rRNA". It matches the Rfam family "Bacterial small subunit ribosomal RNA", at positions 335 to 802 of the family's 1533-position model. The record is from RNAcentral.
ACUCCUACGGGAGGCAGCAGUGGGGAAUAUUGCACAAUGGGCGCAAGCCUGAUGCAGCCAUGCCGCGUGUGUGAAGAAGGCCUUCGGGUUGUAAAGCACUUUCAGUCGUGAGGAAGGUAGUGUAGUUAAUAGCUGCAUUAUUUGACGUUAGCGACAGAAGAAGCACCGGCUAACUCCGUGCCAGCAGCCGCGGUAAUACGGAGGGUGCGAGCGUUAAUCGGAAUUACUGGGCGUAAAGCGCAUGCAGGUGGUUUGUUAAGUCAGAUGUGAAAGCCCGGGGCUCAACCUCGGAAUAGCAUUUGAAACUGGCAGACUAGAGUACUGUAGAGGGGGUAGGAAUUUCAGGUGUAGCGGUGAAAUGCGUAGAGAUCUGAAGGAAUACCGGUGGCGAAGGCGGCCCCUGGACAGAUACUGACACUCAGAUGCGAAAGCGUGGGAGCAAACAGGAUUAGAUACCCCUGGUAGACUGUCA